CAGUCGAGCGAAUGACGAGGAGCUUGCUCCUCUGAUUUAGCGGCGGACGGGUGAGUAACACGUGGGUAACCUGCCUGUAAGACGGGGAUAACUUCGGGAAACCGAAGCUAAUACCGGAUAAUAAAGAGAAACUCCUGUUUCUUUUUUGAAAGUCGGUUUCGGCUGACGCUUACAGAUGGGCCCGCGGCGCAUUAGCUAGUUGGUGAGGUAACGGCUCACCAAGGCCACGAUGCGUAGCCGACCUGAGAGGGUGAUCGGCCACACUGGGACUGAGACACGGCCCAGACUCCUACGGGAGGCAGCAGUAGGGAAUCUUCGGCAAUGGACGAAAGUCUGACCGAGCAACGCCGCGUGAGCGAUGAAGGCCUUCGGGUCGUAAAGCUCUGUUGUCAGAGAAGAACAAGUACCGGAGUAACUGCCGGUACCUUGACGGUACCUGACCAGAAAGCCACGGCUAACUACGUGCCAGCAGCCGCGGUAAUACGUAGGUGGCAAGCGUUAUCCGGAAUUAUUGGGCGUAAAGCGCGCGCAGGCGGUUCCUUAAGUCUGAUGUGAAAGCCCACGGCUCAACCGUGGAGGGUCAUUGGAAACUGGGGAACUUGAGUGCAGGAGAGAAAAGUGGAAUUCCACGUGUAGCGGUGAAAUGCGUAGAGAUGUGGAGGAACACCAGUGGCGAAAGCGGCUUUUUGGCCUGUAACUGACGCUGAGC
Molecule: ribosomal RNA, 709 nt
Filed under: Fictibacillus rigui
Lineage: Bacteria; Bacillati; Bacillota; Bacilli; Caryophanales; Fictibacillaceae
Description: bacterial SSU rRNA
Rfam family: Bacterial small subunit ribosomal RNA
Source: RNAcentral